RNAcentral lists this ribosomal RNA (585 nucleotides) under proteobacterium TDB-210. RNAcentral describes it as "bacterial SSU rRNA". It matches the Rfam family "Bacterial small subunit ribosomal RNA", at positions 102 to 683 of the family's 1533-position model. Lineage: Bacteria; Pseudomonadati; Pseudomonadota. The record is from RNAcentral.
ACGGGUGAGUAAUAUAUCGGAACGUGCCCAGUAGUGGGGGAUAGCCCGGCGAAAGCCGGAUUAAUACCGCAUACGACCUAUGGGUGAAAGCGGGGGAUCGCAAGACCUCGCGCUAUUGGAGCGGCCGAUAUCAGAUUAGGUAGUUGGUGGGGUAAAGGCCUACCAAGCCGACGAUCUGUAGCUGGUCUGAGAGGACGACCAGCCACACUGGGACUGAGACACGGCCCAGACUCCUACGGGAGGCAGCAGUGGGGAAUUUUGGACAAUGGGGGCAACCCUGAUCCAGCCAUGCCGCGUGCGGGAAGAAGGCCUUCGGGUUGUAAACCGCUUUUGUCAGGGAAGAAACGGCUUUCUCUAAUACAGAGGGCUAAUGACGGUACCUGAAGAAUAAGCACCGGCUAACUACGUGCCAGCAGCCGCGGUAAUACGUAGGGUGCAAGCGUUAAUCGGAAUUACUGGGCGUAAAGCGUGCGCAGGCGGUCUUGCAAGACAGAUGUGAAAUCCCCGGGCUUAACCUGGGAACUGCAUUUGUGACUGCAAGGCUGGAGUACGGCAGAGGGGGAUGGAAUUCCGCGUGUAGCAGUG